RNAcentral lists this ribosomal RNA (301 nucleotides) under uncultured bacterium. RNAcentral's name for it is "partial 16S ribosomal RNA". It matches the Rfam family "Bacterial small subunit ribosomal RNA", at positions 509 to 807 of the family's 1533-position model. The record is from RNAcentral.
CAGUAGCCGCGGUAAUACGAGGGGAGCUAGCGUUGUUCGGAAUUACUGGGCGUAAAGCGCGCGUAGGCGGCUUUUUAAGUCAGAGGUGAAAGCCCGGGGCUCAACCCCGGAAUUGCCUUUGAAACUGGAAAGCUAGAAUCUUGGAGAGGUCAGUGGAAUUCCGAGUGUAGAGGUGAAAUUCGUAGAUAUUCGGAAGAACACCAGUGGCGAAGGCGACUGACUGGACAAGUAUUGACGCUGAGGUGCGAAAGCGUGGGGAGCAAACAGGAUUAGAUACCCCCGUAGUCCCUGUCUCUUAUAC